CGAAUGAAGAUUUUCUAAGUGAAGAUUUGUCAGCACUUCACCUUCGUCGACUUUCAAUCCUUUACAAUGUAGAUGAGAUUCGCGAAUUGGUAACACAUCUUGAACUACCAUACACCGAAUGGAAAGACCUCUUCAUCGUAGAACCUGAACCACAGCUACUGAAAUUCAAAGCAUUAUGUCUUUGUCACGAGCAAUCAACACUGACUUUCAGAAAAAUUAAAAAAGCUGUAGUGGAAGGAAAGAUACAAAAUCCACACACUUUGUGCAAGGUAAUGAGAGGCGCAUUUGUGGACUUUGAUACUGAUCCAGUGAAAUGGGAUCUGGUUCCUUCUGGUGAAGACAUUGAUAAAAUGGCACCUUUGAUUGGAAACAAAUCCUUAUUUUUUCUGGUCGAACUUGGUAUGAACCUCGAGACAUGGGAUACCAUCAAUCACAG
Long non-coding RNA from Mytilus californianus (California mussel), 436 nucleotides. RefSeq lists it as uncharacterized. Lineage: Eukaryota; Metazoa; Mollusca; Bivalvia; Mytilida; Mytilidae. The record is from RefSeq and is a predicted model, not a curated record. The transcript has 3 exons.